This 496-nucleotide ribosomal RNA is filed under the name uncultured bacterium. Its description in RNAcentral is "partial 16S ribosomal RNA". It matches the Rfam family "Bacterial small subunit ribosomal RNA", at positions 28 to 506 of the family's 1533-position model. The record is from RNAcentral.
GAUGAACGCUGGCGGCGUGCCUAAUACAUGCAAGUCGAGCGAACAGACGAGGAGCUUGCUCCUCUGACGUUAGCGGCGGACGGGUGAGUAACACGUGGAUAACCUACCUAUAAGACUGGGAUAACUUCGGGAAACCGGAGCUAAUACCGGAUAAUAUAUUGAACCGCAUGGUUCAAUAGUGAAAGACGGUUUUGCUGUCACUUAUAGAUGGAUCCGCGCCGCAUUAGCUAGUUGGUAAGGUAACGGCUUACCAAGGCAACGAUGCGUAGCCGACCUGAGAGGGUGAUCGGCCACACUGGAACUAAGACACGGUCCAGACUCCUACGGGAGGCAGCAGUAGGGAAUCUUCCGCAAUGGGCGAAAGCCUGACGGAGCAACGCCGCGUGAGUGAUGAAGGUCUUCGGAUCGUAAAACUCUGUUAUUAGGGAAGAACAAAUGUGUAAGUAACUAUGCACGUCUUGACGGUACCUAAGCAGAAAGCCACGGCUAACUACGU